This 428-nucleotide ribosomal RNA is filed under the name uncultured bacterium. RNAcentral describes it as "bacterial SSU rRNA". It matches the Rfam family "Bacterial small subunit ribosomal RNA", at positions 354 to 796 of the family's 1533-position model. The record is from RNAcentral.
GUGGGGAAUAUUGGGCAAUGGGCGAAAGCCUGACCCAGCAACGCCGCGUGAGGGAAGAAGGUCUUCGGAUUGUAAACCUCUGUCCUUGGGGACGAAGGACGUGACGGUACCCAAGGAGGAAGCUCCGGCUAACUACGUGCCAGCAGCCGCGGUAAUACGUAGGGAGCGAGCGUUGUCCGGAAUUACUGGGCGUAAAGGGUGCGUAGGCGGCAUGGCAAGUCAGAUGUGAAAUCCCCGGGCUUAACCCGGGAGCUGCAUUUGAAACUGUCGUGCUUGAGUGCAGGAGAGGAAAGCGGAAUUCCUAGUGUAGCGGUGAAAUGCGUAGAUAUUAGGAGGAACACCAGUGGCGAAGGCGGCUUUCUGGACUGCAACUGACGCUGAGGCACGAAAGCGUGGGGAGCAAACAGGAUUAGAAACCCUAGUAGUCC